This 472-nucleotide ribosomal RNA is filed under the name Centipeda noxia. RNAcentral's name for it is "bacterial SSU rRNA". It matches the Rfam family "Bacterial small subunit ribosomal RNA", at positions 28 to 471 of the family's 1533-position model. The record is from RNAcentral. Lineage: Bacteria; Bacillati; Bacillota; Negativicutes; Selenomonadales; Selenomonadaceae.
GACGAACGCUGGCGGCGUGCUUAACACAUGCAAGUCGAACGGAGCGAAUGAAAGCUUGCUUUUAUAAGCUUAGUGGCAAACGGGUGAGUAACACGUAGACAACCUGCCGACAGGAUGGGGACAACAUUCCGAAAGGAAUGCUAAUACCGAAUGAAGUGCAGGGGAGGCAUCUCCCCUGCAUGAAAGAUGGCCUCUAUAUAUAAGCUAUCACCUGUUGAUGGGUCUGCGUCUGAUUAGCUGGUAGGUGAGGUAACGGCACACCUAGGCGACGAUCAGUAGCCGGUCUGAGAGGAUGAACGGCCACAUUGGGACUGAGACACGGCCCAGACUCCUACGGGAGGCAGCAGUGGGGAAUCUUCCGCAAUGGGCGCAAGCCUGACGGAGCAACGCCGCGUGAGUGAAGAAGGUCUUCGGAUCGUAAAGCUCUGUUGAUGGGGACGAACGUGCCUAAUGCGAAUAGUUUUAGGCAAUG